GUGAAUCAUCAAAUCUUUGAACGCAAAUUGCGCCUCUUUCGGAAGGCAUGACUGUUUGAGUGCACCAUUUAACAAAUAUUGUGCAGCGAGUCUUGUUGCACACGUUGAUGAUCUUUUCUAGAAUUGUAAAUCUUUGGUGGCGCAUAAUGAACAGCGUGAAAGUUUUUUUCAGUUCGAGUGUAGUAAAAUCUUUCCUUGGGUCGUGAAAAGUGUAAUCGCGCAAUGGGUGUGGCAAUUUGUUAUUAUCCCUGCCUG
This 255-nucleotide unclassified non-coding RNA is filed under the name Paraglomus sp. Its description in RNAcentral is "partial contains 5.8S ribosomal RNA and internal transcribed spacer 2". The stretch from base 1 to 65 matches the Rfam family "5.8S ribosomal RNA", at positions 84 to 154 of the family's 154-position model. The record is from RNAcentral. Lineage: Eukaryota; Fungi; Glomeromycota; Glomeromycetes; Paraglomerales; Paraglomeraceae.